AGAGUUUGAUCAUGGCUCAGAAUGAACGCUGGCGGCGUGUUUAAGACAUGCAAGUCGCACGGGAUUGAUUGAGUAGUAAUACAAGAUCAGUCUAGUGGCGCACGGGUGAGUAACAUGUGAAUGACAUGCCCUUCAGUGGGGAAUAGCCCAGGGAAACUUGGAUUAAUACCCCAUGGUAUCGCAAGAUUAAAGAUGGCCAGCAAUGGCUGUCGCUGAAGGAUUGGUUCGCACCCUAUCAGCUUGUUGGUGAGGUAAUGGCUCACCAAGGCUACGACGGGUACCUGGUCUGAGAGGACGAUCAGGCACACUGGAACUGAGACACGGUCCAGACACCUACGGGUGGCAGCAGUCGAGAAUAAUUCACAAUGGGGGCAACCCUGAUGGUGCAACGCCGCGUGGAGGAUGAAGGUCUUCGGAUUGUAAACUCCUGUCAUCUGGGAGUAAGACCUGGCUGUAAAUAGCAGACAGGGUUGAUAGUACCAGAAGA
This 487-nucleotide ribosomal RNA is filed under the name uncultured Verrucomicrobiae bacterium. RNAcentral describes it as "bacterial SSU rRNA". It matches the Rfam family "Bacterial small subunit ribosomal RNA", at positions 8 to 485 of the family's 1533-position model. The record is from RNAcentral. Lineage: Bacteria; Pseudomonadati; Verrucomicrobiota; Verrucomicrobiia.